GACGCAUCACUGGUGUUCGGGUUGUCAUGCCAAUGGCACUGCCCGGUAGCUAAAUGCGGAAGAGAUAAGUGCUGAAAGCAUCUAAGCACGAAACUUGCCCCGAGAUGAGUUCUCCCUGAGACUUUAGGUCUCCUGAAGGAACGUUGAAGACGACGACGUUGAUAGGCCGGGUGUGUAAGCGCAGCGAUGCGUUGAGCUAACCGGUACUAAUGAACCGUGAGGCUUAACCUU
This 231-nucleotide ribosomal RNA is filed under the name Salmonella enterica. RNAcentral describes it as "partial 23S ribosomal RNA". It matches the Rfam family "Bacterial large subunit ribosomal RNA", at positions 2700 to 2925 of the family's 2925-position model. Lineage: Bacteria; Pseudomonadati; Pseudomonadota; Gammaproteobacteria; Enterobacterales; Enterobacteriaceae. RNAcentral also lists the same sequence under 2 other names. The record is from RNAcentral.